This 279-nucleotide unclassified non-coding RNA is filed under the name plant metagenome. RNAcentral's name for it is "partial contains small subunit ribosomal RNA, internal transcribed spacer 1, and 5.8S ribosomal RNA". The record is from RNAcentral.
UUUCCGUAGGUGAACCUGCGGAAGGAUCAUUAUUGUAUAAUCGUUGUGCGAGUGCUGUCGCUGAUCCGAACGGUCGUGCACGUGUGAGUGCCCUUACACAUAUCCAUCUCACCCCUAUGUGUACUACCGCGUGGGUCUGUCUUUGGCCUGUUCGGAGGGGGCCUUACGUUUUCACCUAUCCUUUGCAUGUCUCUUAGCAUGUAUUUUUUGUUUUAGCGAACACGCUAUCAAUACAACUUUCAACAACGGAUCUCUUGGCUCUCCCACCGAUGAAGAACC